Molecule: ribosomal RNA, 604 nt
Filed under: uncultured archaeon
Lineage: Archaea
Description: bacterial SSU rRNA
Rfam family: Archaeal small subunit ribosomal RNA
Source: RNAcentral
UUUCCGGUUGAUCCUGCCGGACCCCACUGCUAUCGGGAUAGGACUAAGACAUGCUAGUCGUGCGCUCCCAGCCAACACGGAGUGCGCGGCAUACAGCUCAGUAACACGUGGCUAAUCUGCCCUUGGGAUAGGAACACCCCCGGGAAACUGGGGCUAAUUCCCAAUAGGUGAAGAACUCUGGAAUGAGUCUUCACCAGAAAGGACGUUUGCGUUAUGCUCGUAGGCGUCGCCCAAGGAUGAGGCCGCGACCGAUCAGGUUGUUGGUGAGGUAAUGGCUCACCAAGCCUUUUACCGGUGCGGGCCGUGAGAGCGGGAGCCCGGAGAUGGGCACUGAGACAAGGGCCCAGGCCCUACGGGGCGCAGCAGUCGCGAAAACUUUGCAAUACACGAAAGUGUGACAGGGCUAUCCCGAAUGCCAUCCGCUGAGGCAGGCUUUUACCCCAGUAUAGAUCGCUGGGGGAAUAAGGAGAGGGCAAGUCUGGUGUCAGCCGCCGCGGUAAUAACAGCUCUCCGAGUGGUGUGGAUGUUAUGGGCCUAAAGGCUCCUAACUGCUAAGUAGAUCCUUGUUAAUUCCCCGACUAAUCGUAGAAAGCGGGGGAACUGA